UGUAGAUUCACACGACAGAUUCACACGACACACGUACAAUGUACAGGAUAUUCAUUGGAACAAAGAGCCUGACCGACUGUAGACGACGAUGAAACGAGUCAAACGACGACGACUGACGGGUUUGUCGCCUCUAUUGCUGAUUAAAAUCUGAAUAUAUAAUACCAGAGAUCCCCCCCUCAUGAACUGCCAAGGAAUGAGUGAGUAGUGUAAAGAAUAAAUGAAGACCUGCUGCAACAUCUCCCAUGGAAGCUGCACAGAAAUCAAAACAUCUUGAAAGGCCUUAUGCUUGAAGCUUCCCUUCAUAUUGGAAAAGCUUCAUGUAUUCUGUUGUGGAAGUUUGCCAUUGUUUCCAUUUCAAAGGCAGAUCCUUCUUUACCCAACAGUCUCUUUUAGUGUUUGGAAAAUUCCAUAUGGACUACUUGAUUAUGGAAUUGUUUGUACAGUUUCAAGGCUACUUCCUCAGAGAAAUCAUUCUAGAUUUUGGCUGGUGAUGACUAAAGAUCCAUCAAUCAUAAAGAAAUCAAGCAUAGUUGCUUUGAAGAUAAAUAACACCUUUCAAGCAUGCAGGCUUUGGAUUUGUCCCUAACCAAAAUCAAGGAUAAUUGUCUGAUGAAGAUGGUGAGCUUUGUCCUGUUGACUGUGAAAGAGAAUUUAAGAAUUAAGACUGGUAAAGAGUUCUUCAAAUCUUAGAGAAAGGCCAAUGGAACUGAUUCUUUAGUUAUGGUAUAUUUUGUUGUACUUCGUGUGAAGCUGCAAAUAUAUAGAGAGGGUCUUCUCAAAAUUAUGCAAAGGAUCUGGAGAUCAGAAGGCUACAAUAAUAUUCUUAGAGCACAAUGUCAUUGACGAGUGUGCUGAACAAUCUGUCCAGGUGGUCCCUAAGCAGAGACAGAAAGGACUGUUGCUACCAUUCUUAAGUAUACAUCUGCUGCUUCUCAAGGCAUCUAGAUCAAUCAGGUUCUAUGCUUUAACUUGCUGCAUUAACAUGGUGAUUCAGACUGGAGGUUUAUGCUAAUUCACAUGCUUGCUGUCAAUCACAAGAUUCAAAUCUUUGAUAAGUAUGGAAAUUCAUACUUGUAUGGUUUUCUUGGCGGUCAACUGGAUCAACCAAAAAUGCACGGCUCCAUUACCCUAUGAAUAUCAUACAUGUAUUAUUCACUUUACUAUUCCCAUUGUUUUCUUUUUAUGAUGGUCUUGCUUGUACUAUUACUGAGAAGGACAUUAUAAACACACAAACCAAUUAUUGCGACUAACAUUUAUAAUUGCUUGUACCUUUCUGAGAAAGGCAUCACCAUCUUCUUACCUGAACAGUACAAAUCUUUCUAUGACAA
This is a long non-coding RNA of Nelumbo nucifera (sacred lotus), 1328 nucleotides long. RefSeq lists it as uncharacterized. The record is from RefSeq and is a predicted model, not a curated record. Lineage: Eukaryota; Viridiplantae; Streptophyta; Magnoliopsida; Proteales; Nelumbonaceae.